Musa acuminata subsp. malaccensis (wild Malaysian banana) is the source of this 627-nucleotide non-coding RNA. The record is from RefSeq and is a predicted model, not a curated record. NCBI's taxonomy places the organism in Eukaryota, Viridiplantae, Streptophyta, Magnoliopsida, Zingiberales, Musaceae.
GGAGGAAGAGACGGAACAGAGGAGAAACCGGAGCUAUUCAAAGAUCGUUUCCGCCUAUCCAUGAGCUCCAUCGCCACCGCUGUGGAAGCAUCUGAUGUUGGGCUUCCAACAACUGCUUGAAGCUGAAACUGUGAUUACAUUAGGGGAAUUGAGAGAUUGGACAUUUGGUGAUGUGAACAGCAGAAGAGAAAACUAUGCUGAGAGAGAAGCAUCUGAUGUUGGGCUUCCAGCAACUGCUUGAAGCAGAGAACUGUGAUUACAUUAGGGGAAUUGAGAGAUUGGACACUUGGUAACAUGACCAGCAGAAGAGAAAACUAUGCUGAGAGAGAAACAUCUGAUUUUGGGCUUCCAACAACUGCUUGAAGCAGAAACUGUGAUACCUCAGGGGAAUUGAGAGAUUGGACAUCUGGUGAUGUGACCAGCAGAAGAGAAAACUAUGCAGAGGGAGAAACAUCUAAUUUUGGGCUUCCAACAACUGCUUGAAGCAGAAACUGUGAUACAUCAGGGGAAUUGAGAGAUUGGACAUUUGGUGAUGUGACCAGCGGAACAGAAAACUAUGCAGAGGGAGGUAAUAUAUGUGGUUUAUAUUUGAAGUGUUUGGUUAUCAUUUAUUCAAAUAAAAACAUG